Molecule: long non-coding RNA, 268 nt
Organism: Homo sapiens (human)
Lineage: Eukaryota; Metazoa; Chordata; Mammalia; Primates; Hominidae
Exons: 3
Source: RefSeq, a predicted model, not a curated record
AGCUGCUGGCCCAGCCAAGUGCUAUGCCAGCAGUCUCUCCCCUCCUCACGGGAGUGUCACCCCUGUUCACACCUGAGGACACGGCUCAGAGCAGGAAGGGAUAAAGGUGGAUGAGAGAAUGAAGCUCAGCUCCACUUCCCCGCUAGGAGGAAAUGAGGCAGAGAAGAGAGGCAACUCGGCAUCAGUUGUCCACGGGACAGUCCCAAGCCUGGAUUUGAACACAGGUGGAGAUGUGAUGUCAUUUUAGUACUCUUUUUGAGAAGUUGAC